RNAcentral lists this ribosomal RNA (292 nucleotides) under uncultured bacterium. Its description in RNAcentral is "partial 16S ribosomal RNA". It matches the Rfam family "Bacterial small subunit ribosomal RNA", at positions 505 to 796 of the family's 1533-position model. The record is from RNAcentral.
GUGUCAGCCGCCGCGGUAAGACGUAGGGUGCAAGCGUUGUCCGGAUUUACUGGGCGUAAAGAGCGCGUAGGCGGUCCAUUAAGUGUGAAGCUAAAUCUCCCGGCUCAACCGGGAAACUAUUUCGCAUACUGAUGGGCUGGAGUGAUGCAGAGGUGGAUAGAAUUCCCGGUGUAACGGUGAAAUGUGUUGAUAUCGGGAGGAAUACCCGUGGCGAAGGCGGUCCACUGGGCAUCAACUGACGCUGAGGCGCGAAAGCGUGGGUAGCAAACAGGAUUAGAUACCCCCGUAGUCC